UAGGGAAUAUUAGUAAUGGGCGAAAGCCUGAACUAGCAACACCGCGUGUGCGAAGAAGGCCUUCGGGUUGUAAAGCACUUUUUGAGAGGAUGAGGAAGGACGGUACUCUCAGAAUAAGUCUCGGCUAACUACGUGCCAGCAGCCGCGGUAAUACGUAGGAGGCAAACGUUAUCCGGAUUUACUGGGCGUAAAGCGCGUGUAGGUGGUUUGGUAAGUAGAGCGUGAAAGCUCCUGGCUCAACUGGGAGAGGUCGUUCUAAACUGCCGGACUAGAGGAUGGUAGAGGGAGGUGGAAUUCCGGGUGUAGUGGUGAAAUGCGUAGAUAUCCGGAGGAACACCAGUGGCGAAAGCGGCCUCCUGGACCAUUCCUGACACUCAGACGCGAAAGCUAGGGUAGCAAACG
RNAcentral lists this ribosomal RNA (402 nucleotides) under uncultured prokaryote. RNAcentral's name for it is "bacterial SSU rRNA". It matches the Rfam family "Bacterial small subunit ribosomal RNA", at positions 355 to 774 of the family's 1533-position model. The record is from RNAcentral.